CCUACGGGAGGCAGCAGUGGGGAAUAUUGGACAAUGGGCGAAAGCCUGAUCCAGCCAUGCCGCGUGUGUGAAGAAGGCCUUCGGGUUGUAAAGCACUUUCAGUGGGGAAGAAAGCCUUGGGGCUAAUACCCUCGAGGAAGGACAUCACCCACAGAAGAAGCACCGGCUAACUCCGUGCCAGCAGCCGCGGUAAUACGGAGGGGUGCGAGCGUUAAUCGGAAUUACUGGGCGUAAAGCGCGCGUAGGCGGUCUGAUAAGCCGGUUGUGAAAGCCCCGGGCUCAACCUGGGAACGGCAUCCGGAACUGUCAGGCUAGAGUGCAGGAGAGGAAGGUAGAAUUCCCGGUGUAGCGGUGAAAUGCGUAGAGAUCGGGAGGAAUACCAGUGGCGAAGGCGGCCUUCUGGACUGACACUGACGCUGAGGUGCGAAAGCGUGGGUAGCAAACAGGAUUAGAUACCCCUGUAGUC
RNAcentral lists this ribosomal RNA (466 nucleotides) under Vreelandella stevensii. RNAcentral's name for it is "partial 16S ribosomal RNA". It matches the Rfam family "Bacterial small subunit ribosomal RNA", at positions 338 to 795 of the family's 1533-position model. The record is from RNAcentral. Lineage: Bacteria; Pseudomonadati; Pseudomonadota; Gammaproteobacteria; Oceanospirillales; Halomonadaceae.